AGACUUGCAGAAUCACAAGAACAGAGUGGAUAACCUUCCUGAAGUCUCAGAAUGAACCUGAAUCAUAAUUACAUGGAUGUUGAACCAGAGAAAACAUGUGUUUGGACUUUUCUGUCACAGUA
RNAcentral lists this long non-coding RNA (122 nucleotides) under Carlito syrichta (Philippine tarsier). Its description in RNAcentral is "FAM13A antisense RNA 1 conserved region 1 (ENSTSYG00000037482.1)". It matches the Rfam family "FAM13A antisense RNA 1 conserved region 1". Lineage: Eukaryota; Metazoa; Chordata; Mammalia; Primates; Tarsiidae. The record is from RNAcentral.